AUAGGGGAGCCGUAGGGAAACCGAGUCUUAACUGGGCGAAUGAGUUGCAGGGUAUAGACCCGAAACCCGGUGAUCUAUCCAUGGGCAGGUUGAAGGUUGGGUAACACUAACUGGAGGACCGAACCGACUAAUGUUGAAAAAUUAGCGGAUGACUUGUGGAUGGGGGUGAAAGGCCAAUCAAACCGGGAGAUAGCUGGUUCUCCCCGAAAGCUAUUUAGGUAGCGCCUCGUGAACUCAUCUUCGGGGGUAGAGCACUGUUUCGACUAGGGGGUCAUCCCGACUUACCAACUCGAUGCAAACUGCGAAUACCGAAGAAUGUUAUCACGGGAGACACACGGCGGGUGCUAACGUCCGUCGUGAAGAGGGAAACAACCCAGACCGCCAGCUAAGGUCCCAAAGUCAUGGUUAAGUGGGAAACGAAGUGGGAAGGCUCAGACAGCCAGGAUGUUGGCUUAGAAGCAGCCAUCAUUUAAAGAAAGCGUAAUAGCUCACUGGUCGAGUCGGCCCGCGCGGAAGAUGUAACGGGGCUAAACCAUGCACCGAAGCUGCGGCAGCGAACGUAUCACUUAAAUUUGUUUGAGUGAAUAACGAUUGACGGAACGAAGUGACGUCAAUGCGUUAAUGAAAGUCGAGGCGAAAGCACGACAAAGCGAAUUUAAGGAUACGUUCGUUGGGUAGGGGAGCGUUCUGUAAGCCUGCGAAGGUGUACUGUGAGGUAUGCUGGAGGUAUCAGAAGUGCGAAUGCUGACAUAAGUAACGAUAAUGCGGGUGAAAAACCCGCACGCCGGAAGACCAAGGGUUCCUGUCCAACGUUAAUCGGGGCAGGGUGAGUCGACCCCUAAGGCGAGGCUGAAAAGCGUAGUCGAUGGGAAACGGGUUAAUAUUCCCGUACUGGUGGUAACUGCGAUGGGGGAACGGAGAAGGCUAGGUUGUCCGGGCGACGGUCGUCCCGGUUCAAGCAGGUAGGCAGAGUGAUUAGGCAAAUCCGGUCACUUAAUGCUGAGAUGUGAUGACGAACCACCAAGGUGGUGAAGCAAUUGAUGCCCCGCUUCCAGGAAAAGCCUCUAAGCUUCAGGUUACCAACAAUCGUACCCCAAACCGACACAGGUGGUCAGGUAGAGAAUACUCAGGCGCUUGAGAGAACUCGGGUGAAGGAACUAGGCAAAAUGGUGCCGUAACUUCGGGAGAAGGCACGCUGGCGGUAGGUAAAGUCCCUCGCGGACAGAGCUGAAGCCAGUCGAAGAUACCAGCUGGCUGCAACUGUUUAUUAAAAACACAGCACUGUGCAAACACGAAAGUGGACGUAUACGGUGUGACGCCUGCCCGGUGCUGGAAGGUUAAUUGAUGGGGUUAGCGCAAGCGAAGCUCCUGAUCGAAGCCCCAGUAAACGGCGGCCGUAACUAUAACGGUCCUAAGGUAGCGAAAUUCCUUGUCGGGUAAGUUCCGACCUGCACGAAUGGCGUAAUGAUGGCCAGGCUGUCUCCACCCGAGACUCAGUGAAAUUGAACUCGCUGUGAAGAUGCAGUGUACCCGCGGCAAGACGGAAAGACCCCGUGAACCUUUACUAUAGCUUGACACUGAACAUUGAGCCUUGAUGUGUAGGAUAGGUGGGAGGCUUUGAAGUGUGGACGCCAGUCUGCAUGGAGCCAACCUUGAAAUACCACCCUUUAACGUUUGAUGUUCUAACCUAGGCCCGUGAUCCGGGUCGGGGACCGUGUCUGGUGGGUAGUUUGACUGGGGCGGUCUCCUCCUAAAGAGUAACGGAGGAGCACGAAGGUUGGCUAAGCAUGGUCGGACAUCAUGCGGUUAGUGCAAAGGCAUAAGCCAGCUUGACUGCGAGAGUGACGGCUCGAGCAGGUACGAAAGUAGGUCUUAGUGAUCCGGUGGUUCUGAAUGGAAGGGCCAUCGCUCAACGGAUAAAAGGUACUCCGGGGAUAACAGGCUGAUACCGCCCAAGAGUUCAUAUCGACGGCGGUGUUUGGCACCUCGAUGUCGGCUCAUCACAUCCUGGGGCUGAAGUAGGUCCCAAGGGUAUGGCUGUUCGCCAUUUAAAGUGGUACGCGAGCUGGGUUUAGAACGUCGUGAGACAGUUCGGUCCCUAUCUGCCGUGGGCGUUGGAAGAUUGAGAGGGGUUGCUCCUAGUACGAGAGGACCGGAGUGAACGCACCACUGGUGUUCGGGUUGUCAUGCCAAUGGCAUUGCCCGGUAGCUAAGUGCGGAAGAGAUAACCGCUGAAAGCAUCUAAGCGGGAAACUUGCCUCGAGAUGAGUCUUCCCUGUCGCUUAAAGCGACCUAAAGGAACGUUUAAGACGAAGACGUUGAUAGGCUGGAUGUGUAAGCGUAGCGAUACGUUGAGCUAACCAGUACUAAUGAACCGUGAGGCUUAACCUG
This 2391-nucleotide ribosomal RNA is filed under the name Proteus mirabilis. RNAcentral describes it as "partial 23S ribosomal RNA". It matches the Rfam family "Bacterial large subunit ribosomal RNA", at positions 657 to 2925 of the family's 2925-position model. The record is from RNAcentral. Lineage: Bacteria; Pseudomonadati; Pseudomonadota; Gammaproteobacteria; Enterobacterales; Morganellaceae.